RNAcentral lists this ribosomal RNA (253 nucleotides) under uncultured bacterium. Its description in RNAcentral is "partial 16S ribosomal RNA". It matches the Rfam family "Bacterial small subunit ribosomal RNA", at positions 524 to 776 of the family's 1533-position model. The record is from RNAcentral.
UACGUAGGGGGCAAGCGUUGUCCGGAAUUACUGGGCGUAAAGCGCGCGUAGGCGGCUUUGCAAGUCGGGUGUGAAAUCCCCAGGCUUAACCUGGGAACUGCAUUCGAGACUGCAUUGCUAGAGUAUGGGAGAGGGAAGUGGAAUUUCCGGUGUAGCGGUGAAAUGCGUAGAUAUCGGAAGGAACAUCAGUGGCGAAAGCGACUUCCUGGACCAAUACUGACGCUCAUGUGCGAAAGCGUGGGGAGCAAACAGG